This is a long non-coding RNA of Cyprinus carpio (common carp), 1098 nucleotides long. The record is from Ensembl. Lineage: Eukaryota; Metazoa; Chordata; Actinopteri; Cypriniformes; Cyprinidae.
CUUGAUUUUACUUUCAAUUCCUUUUACAUUCUCCAAGGUAUUAACAUUAAAAUUUUUCAGAACUCCAUGUAGGACGUUUCUGUACAUAAAUGUAAGCACUGUGGCAGUAGUAAUGCAAUAUUUAGAAAAUGUACUCUUGUACUCUUGAUACUCAAGUACUUUUAAAAACAAGUACUUCAGUACUUUUACUUAAGUAGACAUCUGACUGUAGUACUUUUACUUGUACUUGAGUAAAAUUUAGCAAGGGGUCUCUGUACUUUUACUCAAGUAAUGAAGCUGUGUACUCUGUCCGCCUCUGUAUUUGACAUAUUGACACCAAACUUUGUAUGUGCCAUUGUCACCUCAUACUGACCAGGCCCAAUUUGGUAACAGCGCCAUCUAUUGGUCAAACGUGAUAAGCCAAUAAAUCAUGUUACUAGAGAUUGUAUUUAUGAUUUUUCAGCCGUUUUGACUAAAAUCAUCCUAAAAUGGCUUCACUUACUCAUUUCUGCAGUUGGUCUGAUGCUCCAUGCCAUGCUUAGCUCCUCAAUUUGCCUUUGGCGUGCUUGGCCCCGCAGUUGCUAUAUUUUUAGUGUUUUUAUUAUUUGUUUGUCUGCACUAUGUUUGGACUUUCUGUACUAAUAGCUCCUAACACCAAGACGAAUGUCUUGUGUGUGUAAACACACUUGGCAAUAAAGCUCAUUCUGAUUCUGAUACUUGCGUAAAAUUCUUCACUUUAAUGAUUGGUUUGUAAGAUGAUCUCUGUCUUCCUCUGUUUGUCUCUUUCUAGUCUAAUCUGCUGUGGUGUUACAGAUGUUUCUUCUUUAACUCAGUCUUUGGUAAACAUGAAAACACAGCCGUUUUUAAAAGAGCUUGAUCUGAGAAACAAUAUGAUUGGAGACUCAAAGCAGCAGCUCAUUGAUGUAUUACGAGACUCAAACUGUAACCUGAGAGUAGAUAGAGAUCAAUCACCUAGUGUCCAUGGUAGAUCAUUUACAUCAUGGUUUAAAUCUUUGAAGUCGACAUGAGAGGAGCAGUACAUCAGGUGAGGAUGCACAGAAGAGCUUCACUACUGUGUCUAUGAGGAGAAAUAAAUAUAUUAUAUACAGGUGGAAGACA